Non-coding RNA from Phoenix dactylifera (date palm), 650 nucleotides. The record is from RefSeq and is a predicted model, not a curated record. NCBI's taxonomy places the organism in Eukaryota, Viridiplantae, Streptophyta, Magnoliopsida, Arecales, Arecaceae.
GCUUCUUAAUAAGCACCAUCUCUCUCUCUCUCUCUCUCUCUCUCUCUCUCUCUCUCUCUCUCUCUCUGUGUGUGUCUCACACACACACAAAUACACAAACAUCAUGGGAAGUCUUUGCUGCACGCAAUCUAACGAUGAUGAUGGAGGAGGAUUUAAUCCCAUAUGGCUGAUCGCGGUUUUGGUCAUUGCCUUGACGAUCAUGGCCGUCUGCUUCAAACCAUGCAAACCACGACGGCGUUGUAGAUACGUGGCGUGCCGUCCCCACUGUUACUGAAUGCUGCUUUGGCUUCUCCGCUUGGCUUCCAUGGAUAAGAUCACAAGCUGUGCAAAUUAAGGGGCAGCUGAGAAAUAAAGCAUAGUCUAGCAGAUCAGCCCCGACAACCAGAAGGCAGCGGAUGAAAAAUUUCCUCUUUUUUUCUUCAUUGCUAGUUUUUGAAAUUUAGCCUCUGUAAUAAGCACUGCAAAAGUGAGUGGAAAUGUUGCCAAGAUAUUGCGUGAAGAGAGAAAAAUUUGUCAUGAUAGCUUACAGAAGGCCUUCAGGACCUCAUGUAUUAGAAGAGCAGGUAUUGUAAAAUCCAGCAGGGAUGAUGAACAGUGUUUCUGCUCCAUUCUUAGUUACAGGUCCCAUUGAAGGGCAAAUUUCCACAAAA